This 254-nucleotide unclassified non-coding RNA is filed under the name uncultured Acidimicrobiia bacterium. Its description in RNAcentral is "contains 16S-23S intergenic spacer region". It matches the Rfam family "Bacterial small subunit ribosomal RNA", at positions 524 to 776 of the family's 1533-position model. Lineage: Bacteria; Bacillati; Actinomycetota; Acidimicrobiia. The record is from RNAcentral.
UACGUAGGGGGCAAGCGUUAUCCGGAAUCAUUGGGCGUAAAGAGCUCGUAGGCGGUUCAGCAAGACGGCUGUGAAAGUCUAAGGCUCAACCUUGGAAAUGCAGUCGAUACUGCUGUGACUAGAGUCUGGUAGAGGAGAAUGGAAUUCCCGAUGUAGCGGUGGAAUGCGCAGAUAUCGGGAGGAACACCAGUAGCGAAGGCGGUUCUCUGGGCCUCGACUGACGCUGAGGAACGAAAGCUAGGGGAGCAAACAGG